RNAcentral lists this ribosomal RNA (301 nucleotides) under uncultured bacterium. Its description in RNAcentral is "partial 16S ribosomal RNA". It matches the Rfam family "Bacterial small subunit ribosomal RNA", at positions 509 to 807 of the family's 1533-position model. The record is from RNAcentral.
CAGUAGCCGCGGUAAUACAGAGGGUGCGAGCGUUAAUCGGAUUUACUGGGCGUAAAGCGUGCGUAGGCGGCUUCUUAAGUCGGAUGUGAAAUCCCUGAGCUUAACUUAGGAAUUGCAUUCGAUACUGGGAAGCUAGAGUAUGGGAGAGGAUGGUAGAAUUCCAGGUGUAGCGGUGAAAUGCGUAGAGAUCUGGAGGAAUACCGAUGGCGAAGGCAGCCAUCUGGCCUAAUACUGACGCUGAAGUACGAAAGCAUGGGGAGCAAACAGGAUUAGAUACCCCAGUAGUCCCUGUCUCUUAUAC